GUGGACAAAAUGUUUAAAAUUUGCAGUUUAAAACAUGCACAUCCACAAAAGGCCAAUGACACAUAACACUGCAGAGAAAUGAAUAUACUCAACUUUAAAUAACUAUUUAUAAAACACAGUGCGUUGAACAUCAAGAUAAACAAACCCGAGAAAACUACUAUGAUCACAGGACCAACACUCUCACUCAUGCAGCUUCACAAUUUCUACAGCAGUUUCAGCAGGAAUGGUUUUUCAUGGAGCUGAAAAUACUACUUUAUCUUUAACGCAAAGUGCAGUUUUCCAUAGCUGCCUUCCAAGGCUGCCUUUUUAUUUUUAACCUAACAAAGCUGAAAAUAUGAAAAACAAAGCUUGAAGUAGUUAAAAAACAAACAGCAUUUACUGCAUUUACGGCUUCUAUUCUAGAACCAUGAAACAUAAAAAUAUCUAUUUUUAACAUUCUGCUCACAUCUUUGUAAGAGCAGACUACCUACGGAAAAUUGCUGUUAAUUCAAAGUAAGCAAAUAUGAAAUCUAGAUUUUUUUCCUACUUAAGGGAGAUUUAUUUGCCAAGAAGUUUUGUGAGCUUUAUUAAGAAAAGUUCUUAGAGGCAAGCUAAACAAAAGAUUCAAUUAAAUUUGUUCAAAUUUGUUUGUAAAAUAAUCUACUUACUAAAAAAAAAAAAAAAAAAGUUGUGUGGAGGACCAGUUAAUUUGUCCACUGAAUAUUAAAAUCCAGGUAGGCCAUGACAGAAUUUUAUAAGGCAGAAAUAAACAUCAAGAUUUACAGCAAUAGUCAUGCAUUGGCCUGGAUCACUUUAAAUAUUAAUUCAUGCAAACCAUAAACCUAUCAAAAACACAGCUGCUUUCAUACAGAAAAUAAAUCAAGAUGAAAAAUAGAAAACAUUUAUUUCAUUUCCUUCAAAAUUUAACUUACAAUCCACUUUAAUAGCUGUUGAAGGUUAAUUAAAAUGGAGCAAAGUAUAACUAAGUUUCACAAGUGACUUCAGUUAUUUUAAUGUGAGAAAAAUCAGACAAUGGUACUUUAAGAGGCAUUAUAGAAACAUUCAUCAUUAAAAGCAUUUAUUAGGCACUGAACUGCAUGGUGUUACCAUAAGUAAUCUACAAAAAGAAUUCCACAGACCUAGUCAUUGUGAUGUAAACGGCUGGGGAUUUUCUUGAUAAAUUUGAUUAAAGAUUUAGUCAAUGAAAUAAGUUUUAAAACCAGAAACCAUCAAAGGGCAACUGCAUGAAAACAAACCCGUAAUGAUUAUGUGGCUUUGUAAUACUUGUGAUACAAAUACUUUAAGAUUAUGAAUAUAUAGUCUAUUACUUUCUGACUAGCAUUCAUUUUUCUGAAAGAACAUUUUAUGACAGGAUACAUGCCAUACAGUGCACAUAAUGCAGAAGAAUUUAGCAUGUGACUCUCAUAGUUGAUAUUCACAAUGCUAAAUUUAAAAAUUAAAAAUACAAAAAUUUAUGAUGAGGAUAAAUGAUGACUGAUUUCUAUAAUUUAUCCCUCCUCCCCACCCUAGAAAAUUAAGAGGAAUCUGUGAUUCCACUGAAUGACCAUACAGCUCAUAUAAGUGGCUAAUUUUAUUUAGCAGAAUACACAUGCACCUGAUUUGAGAGAAGCUUUUCCAGUGGGUUCACAACACUUCUGGCACUUCCUGCACGGUGCAAUAGGAAAGCACAAAGUGGAGGGGAGGGAGGAGCACACUUAGCAUUUUAAAUUUACUACAUUCCUGAGAAAUACUGUUUUCCUGCUAAUAAACUCUACAAUACAGCAUCUUUCUGGGUGUCAGACACUGAUAUACUCUCAUGAAUAUAUAAAACAUUUAGAAAAUCCAUGUUCAGUACCACCGUGCAGUAUUCAACAUUAAAGAAGCAGCUCCCAGUGUUUCAGUGCUAAAGGAAGGUUUUGUAUCAUAAGUAGUAUUUUCUGAAUUGUAAACAUUAUACAGAAACUAUGUAAGCAUUUGCCACAGUCCUUACAAGGAACGUUUUAAUUGAACAGUAUGUGUUCUUUAUUUUAGAAAAUAAAUGUUAAAAGUCGCUUUGAUUGGUUAUUUUAAUUCUGGUAAAACCGUGUGUCUCUCCUGCACCCCACCCCAAUUCAGGAGAUUAAAACUCAAGAGCAUUUUCUCUAAUUUAAGUAAAACUGUAAAGUCACCGCAAUUGCAGUGCUGUAUUUCAAAUUUAGCAAAGUGGUCAUUCCCUGCCCCUUAUGCCCUACCUUUACCCAAUAAGCAAAGAGACUGGCUUAAUGUCCAGGAUUGGAAAAUUGGAUCAUUGGACAAAUAGGCAUAAAUCAGUCACGUUUCGGAGCAUGAUGUUCACUGAUUAACCGUGAGUAUUCUUUUCAUGUUGAAGAGCUCUAUUGAAACAGUCCAUGUUUCAAGAUGAAAAUAAAACUUCUAAUUUUCAGGUUUAAGUCAGAAAACUCAAUUCUCUUUUGUUUUUAACCUUCUGAUAUUAAAAAUUUGGAGAAAGAUGUGACUGAUGAAGUGCAAGCAAAUGGAAACAGAUCUUCUCUGGAAGAAUGCACUUCAUUCUUGCUGAGUUUUGUAGUUUGAGCACAACUAUCACCACAAGGAGACCCUGGAAAAUACACUCUGAAGAUCCAUCCCACAGACAAAGUCUGCAACUCCAGAAUUUCAAAGAUUUUAGACUCUGCAUCUGUGGUCUUGUUGGAUGUUUUGAUUCAUGAUUUUUCUAAUCUGAACCUCAAUUGGAAGUCUAAGAAGUAAAAUGUAUAAAAAUCCCUGUUCUCCUUAGAUUAGAAUUAUUUAUAUGUAUUAUACACUGUUAUUUGCAGAAAAUGUGGAUUUAUACUUAUAACCAGCUGUAUAUAC
This 2829-nucleotide long non-coding RNA is filed under the name Heterocephalus glaber (naked mole-rat). Its description in RNAcentral is "lncRNA (ENSHGLG00100049162.1)". Lineage: Eukaryota; Metazoa; Chordata; Mammalia; Rodentia; Bathyergidae. The record is from RNAcentral.